RNAcentral lists this ribosomal RNA (497 nucleotides) under uncultured bacterium. RNAcentral's name for it is "partial 16S ribosomal RNA". It matches the Rfam family "Bacterial small subunit ribosomal RNA", at positions 28 to 507 of the family's 1533-position model. The record is from RNAcentral.
GAUGAACGCUGGCGGCGUGCCUAAUACAUGCAAGUCGAGCGAACGGACGAGAAGCUUGCUUCUCUGAUGUUAGCGGCGGACGGGUGAGUAACACGUGGAUAACCUACCUAUAAGACUGGGAUAACUUCGGGAAACCGGAGCUAAUACCGGAUGAUAUUUUGAACCGCAUGGUUCAAAAGUGAAAGACGGUCUUGCUGUCACUUAUAGAUGGAUCCGCGCUGCAUUAGCUAGUUGGUAAGGUAACGGCUUACCAAGGCAACGAUGCAUAGCCGACCUGAGAGGGUGAUCGGCCACACUGGAACUGAGACACGGUCCAGACUCCUACGGGAGGCAGCAGUAGGGAAUCUCCCGCAAUGGGCGAAAGCCUGACGGAGCAACGCCGCGUGAGUGAUGAAGGUCUUCGGAUCGUAAAACUCUGUUAUUAGGGAAGAACAUAUGUGUAAGUAACUAUGCACAUCUUGACGGUACCUAAUCAGAAAGCCACGGCUAACUACGUG